CACUGAAAAUUUAAAGAGCUGCAGUAUUUUGACUGUACAAAGGUAGCAUAAUCAUUAGUAUAUUAAUUGUAUACUGGAAUGAAGGGUUUAACGAGAGAUAUGCUGUCUCUUAUUGAUUUAUAUAAUUUUACUUUCUAGUAAAAAGGCUGGAAUUUUUUUUUUGGACGAUAAGACCCUAUAGAACUUUAAUUAUUAAAAUUAAUUAAUUUGGGUUAAUUUACAUUAUUUUGAUUUAUUUGAUUUUAAUUGGGGCGAUUUGAAUAAUAAUUAAACUAUUCAUUGAUAUAUCAUUGAUUUAUGUGGUUUGUGAUCCUUUAUUAUGGAUUUUAAGAUAGAGUUACCUUAGGGAUAACAGCGCAAUUAUCUCUAAGAGUUCAUAUUGACGAGAUAGAUUGUGACCUCGAUGUUGGAUUAAGAUUAUUAUUUGGGUGCAGGAGCUUAAUUAAUUGGUCUGUUCGACCAUU
This 464-nucleotide ribosomal RNA is filed under the name Bolivaritettix liboensis. RNAcentral describes it as "partial 16S ribosomal RNA". It matches the Rfam family "Bacterial large subunit ribosomal RNA", at positions 1910 to 2589 of the family's 2925-position model. The record is from RNAcentral. Lineage: Eukaryota; Metazoa; Arthropoda; Insecta; Orthoptera; Tetrigidae. RNAcentral also lists the same sequence under 1 other name.